UCCCGUGUGGCUCAGUUGGUAGAGCAUGGUGUUUGCAACGCCAGGGUUGCGGGUUCGAUUCCCACGGGGG
This is a non-coding RNA of Salmo salar (Atlantic salmon), 70 nucleotides long. The record is from Rfam. Lineage: Eukaryota; Metazoa; Chordata; Actinopteri; Salmoniformes; Salmonidae.